RNAcentral lists this long non-coding RNA (589 nucleotides) under Medicago truncatula (barrel medic). RNAcentral's name for it is "lncRNA gene23515". Lineage: Eukaryota; Viridiplantae; Streptophyta; Magnoliopsida; Fabales; Fabaceae. The record is from RNAcentral.
UGUUUAUCACUCUAAAAUCAUUUUAUUUAUGAUCAUAAUAAAAUUACUAUUCAAGCAGAAGGAUCCAUAAAUAUUAUCACUCCAUAUGCAAUUUUAAUUGGUCUCAAGAUUGCUCAAGCCGAAUGAUUCAUAAAUAUCAUUGAAUCAGACUUCCUUUUAAUAGUUUACUUCGCUUCUUGUGAAACUUCUCAACUUCAUCCUUAUGCUUUGCUUAUCAUAAUAAUUUUUACUUUCGCAUAGGGAUUGCAACAUCUCUAUUCGGCACACUCUUAUAGAGGAUAAUGAAUGUCUCGCUUAGCUUUCAAAGAUUAGAGUUUCCUCCAACAAUACCUUAAAGAUUUAGAAUAAAUAUCAUCCAAAACCAGUGUCAUGUUGACGACUGAUGGUGUAGGCGUCUCUUGUCCCUGAACUUAGUUUCCUUUCUUAGCUUCCUUCCUUUAGUGUAAGAGAGAGUAAAGGAGAUAGUUAUUUUCAUUAUGUUGCUCUGAUAUUGUAACAUCAGGACCGAAUUUAAUAAUAUGUUCUUGACUUUUUUUCUUGGAUCUUGAGAAAAUAUUACAUAUUUUAUUUUAUUAUGAGGAUAUUUGUA